Molecule: ribosomal RNA, 31 nt
Filed under: Boerhavia repanda
Lineage: Eukaryota; Viridiplantae; Streptophyta; Magnoliopsida; Caryophyllales; Nyctaginaceae
Description: partial 18S ribosomal RNA
Source: RNAcentral
CGCGAGGAUCAUUGUCGAAGCCUGCCUUGCA